GAAGAUAGGUAUAUUUUAUAUUUUAGAGUAUUUACCAGGGGCAGAACCAGUCCCACUGCACACAUCCAGAUGGGGGCUCAGAGAAGCGUUGCUGGUCCCACUAGGGACCUAUUAAUAGCAAAGGAAGAUUGGCCAGAUCUUUGUUAACAUCCCUUCCAGAAGAGUGUCUGCACUAACUUCAUGUGAGUGUGAGGGCUAAGUCUCUGAACUUAGAUGUUCUGUUUCUUAAACCGACUCUGCUUUCCUGUGGUUCAGACAUUUGAACCAGUCUCUGUUCUUUCUGAAAAAUGAUCCUGACGACACAGGGGCAGGGAGGUUCCACAGUAUGACAUAACGAGCAGCUGCCAACCGCACACAGGUACAGGAACGUGAAUUACCUAGGCCUCAGUGCUUGCUAGUGACUUUCAGAUCCUGGCCAGCAUCACCAUCACUGCCAAGCCCACCCUCACACCCGCUAGCCGAAAAGACGUCGUCGUUUAGUUGCUAGUGUUUCUGUUCGGUUGCUCAGUGUCUGACUCUUUGCGACCUCAUGGACGACAGCACACCGGACUUCCCUGUCCUUCACCAUCUCCCAGAACUUGCUCGUGGCCAACUCUUUGCAACCCCAUGAACUGUAGCCCACCAGGCUCCUCUGUCCGUGGGAUUUCCCAGAAUGCUGGAGCAGCAUGCGUGGGGCAGACAACGGGACCCCAGCCCCAGAGGGAGCAUCCGUCCCCGCUUCACCACUGCCAGAGUCACAGGAGGGAGCUCCCAGCCAGAGAAGGCUCCUGCCCUCGAGUGAAGGUGUGGCCGAUCCUCCUGGAGUCCUCGUUAAGAGUCCUUGUCACUCACUGGGCAGCCACCCUCUCUGGAAAUCUGAAUUCUCUUUGAAUAGUUUCUAUUUUAGUUAGGUUACUGUGCACAAGUAUUUUGCAUAAUUAUGGAGGGC
Molecule: long non-coding RNA, 928 nt
Organism: Bos taurus (domestic cattle)
Lineage: Eukaryota; Metazoa; Chordata; Mammalia; Artiodactyla; Bovidae
Source: Ensembl